RNAcentral lists this transfer RNA (67 nucleotides) under Echeneibothrium multiloculatum. Its description in RNAcentral is "tRNA-His". Lineage: Eukaryota; Metazoa; Platyhelminthes; Cestoda; Rhinebothriidea; Echeneibothriidae. The record is from RNAcentral.
UUACUGGUAGGUUAUUUAAACUGGCAAAUUGUGGUUUUGUUGAUUACGCUUUUAUUAAAAUUUUGUA